AGAGUGUCUGUGCUGGUUCUGCUGUUGAGAAAUACAGAUACUGGUGAGUUAUGCAGUGUGAGCUGAGAGUUUGGUGUGAACGUCUGAUUUUUUUUCUAACGUGGUCGUUUGAAGUUUGAUGUCUUCCUGACAACUUUACUUGGCUCUUCAUAGCAAUUUUCAUGUCUUGAAAAUAUGCAGGGGUUAGGUGGGGGAUGCUGGAUCAUGUUCUUUGAUAAGGGCCUGGGAUUCCUCUAGCAACAAGGACUCCUUUGUUACAGGCUGAUCUUGUGCUACCUUGGUGUGGGAGUGGUGAAGUCUGAAAUGGAUGGUGUCACUAAAUUAGUGACCACAUCAGAACUUCUCCAAUCUGCAUCGCUUCCAGACAAAUUAAGCUAUGUGUCAAGGCAAGGUCAUUUGGUGAUCGUGAGAAGCCAGUUAAUAUUAUUCUUAGACCACAAGGAAUUUCCACUUACUGUAAAGCUGUCAGGCUGUUCCUCUUCGCCCGUCAGUGGGGCUGCAGCUUUGCCACUGGACACACAGAGAACACUGCAGCAGUGUGUUGGGUGAUGAUACAGACCAUUAGCAGCAGCGUGCUGCUUGUGUGAGUUUCUGCAGGAGCAGCCUGGGUGUGGGACAGCUGUAAAGUGCUUUGUCAGGUUAAUGAGCAUAACGAAGUUAAGGUUUGCAGGAAACAUUUACUGUUAGCAGUCUAGCCACGUGUUCGCUCACCAUCUCAUAGAGGCCCGGAGUGCCAGCAGGUGAAUGUAACAACAUGUUGAGUCUUACCAUCCUAGAAGGAAGGGUACCAGCUGCUCAGCAGAGCAGCAGAAGUGUAGCAGGUUUGGUGUGUGCAGGUUUUCUGAUGAUGUAUCCAGUCAUUGAGAAAGCCAUCAAACACACUUUGUGUUGCUCUGUAGAGUGCUGGGAGCAGUUCUGAGCACAGCAGGAAAAUAAUGAAGACCUGUCAGAAAGCUGCAUUCUUGGGCAGUGUUUCCAGUGGGCAGCGUCACCUGACUGGGAGCUGUGACGUGCGUGGUCCAGAGGUGACGCAGAAUGUGUUUGCUGGGACAGGAGCCUUCAGGGUAGUCUGCUCAGGGCUCAGUGCUGGUAUGCUUUUGGGCGCAGGGGGGGAGCUUGGGGGAGCUGUAGGCACCAUCACAGGUCAGCCUGCAGGGAUGGACAAAGCCUUUCGUACGACAUGCUUUGUGAGCAGCUUGUGGACUGCAUGAAGGUCGCAAGGGAGUGUUGAAUCUCUGGAAGUGGCAGGGCAUGGAGGCACGGGGGAUGCAGGCUGGGUGCCGUCGGGCCUUGGGAGAACUGUUAAACUUGGAUACCAUACCAAGCGAAUGUUGCUGACUGUAGGAUUUAUAUUUUUGCUCCUGAGCACGAGGCCUGUGGAAGUUUGGAGCAUAAAUAAUUGCUAUCUCUCCAGCACGUGGACUCUGGCUCUGCGCUUGGCCCUGUGUCCCAGCCCCCGCUCCGCUCAGCAGGGUCAGGGAGAAGGGAGAAGGGGCGGUGUCUUUGGCUGACAUGAGCCCGCUGGGGAGGGAUGAGAGGAAGGGGGUCUUGGGGGCUGGGUUCAGAGCAAGGUUAGCCAAAUAUCGGAUAAAUUAAGCAAGAGAAACAGACAGCUCAGCUUGCAGUGAACUUUUCACCCAGCUAACCUGUUGCUCACCCUGCAUUGCACAGGUGGAGUACAACUCAAGUAGAGCACAACCCUGGCUUUCCCUGCCUCCUCUUUUGCUGUAGUGUGAGGCAUGGCCAAGAAGAGACCAGGAACUGAAAAGAGUUUGAUUUGCUGUUUUGAGUCCAGAAGAGAUCUGAUUGCUGUCUUAAGAGCACUGAAGUUAAUGCUAAUAAUGGCCACAGGGUUAGUUAGCAUUUGUUCCGGUGUAGAACCUCUACCAGUAAUUCCUGGUCAUAGGGAAUGGGGAAGAAAUUCCAUGCUGGAGAGGGCAAGGAACAAACAGUGCCUUAACAGGAAUGGUUAGAGAUUCUUUGUGGGAAGAUGCAAGGCUGGUGGGAAUUCAGUGAAUUCUGAUGUUUAUAUUUCUCUGACUUUUCAUCUGCAUUUGCAGUGCAAGUAAAUACAAAUGAUUGCUGACAGAUGUUGUAAAAACAUAGCAUUAUGCUAACCAUUAAGCUUAAUUUUGUUCUCAGUUACUAAUGCACGUGGCAUAGUAUGAUUCUUACUCACAUCACCUCUAUGUAAAUCAUGGACUUUCCUCCAGGGGUACGGAAUCCAGAACAGAAUUUAUUCUGUUGGACUUUUCUGAAAUCCUCACAGCUUCUUGUCCCAGGAACUCUGCAAGCAAAUGGAAGUUACUGGGCUGGCAGCUCUGUUGGAAAGGAACAUCCAUUUGAGUGCUUAAACCCUCAGAUGUAGCUCUCUGGCUUCCGGUCAGUGUUUUCAAAUUGGAACUCCUGUUCUCUGAUCUUCCUUUUCGCUCACGGUAGGUGAGGAAGGCCUGAAACCCACUGAAGUGCCUAUUGCACGGUAUUUCCAGGAGCUCAGCCCUGUAUUUCUGUGUGUGUGCCUAAAUUGCUUAAAACAGGGGUCUUUGCAGAGGCUUUGAAGAGCCUUUUAUCGGUAGUGAACUUUCAGAUGGUAAAUGCCAGGAGCUCUGUCUAAAAUGGAAGGAACAUUGUAUAAACGUAGAGAUAAGCUCUGACUUCAGGGAGCUGUGAGCCUUCCUGGAGCUAUGAGUGUUCUCAGCUCUGCCUGCUGCUCUGCUCACUGCAUCCUGCUCACAGCAGGAUGGCUUCCCUCCCCCAUUUUGGAUCUGGGAAGGAGGUCAAGUUUUUCUUGCUCUGCAUGUGCCUUUGAGUUCAUGUAGAGCUCCUCAGGCAGUGCGAGUUUACAUUAGGUGAUUGGCCACAAAGUAGUCCUGACAGAGUAUCCUUUGGUAUCCCAAAUUCCUGGGUGUUGAGGAAGGACAGGAGCUCAGACUGCCAUUACCACACAGUCCAGAUGUGCAUUCAGGCCAGCCCAGCGUUGGUGUAGGAUGGUGGGGAGCUGGUGAUGUGCCUUGGUGGUUCCAGAGCAGGGGUGGUUCACCCAGCGGGGGGGCAGGAAUGGCAGUGCUGUGGUGGAGCUCACAGUUAAGAGUUCACCAACUCCUCUCCUGCAAGGGAACAGGGGUGUCAUUCUGCUUUCUUCAAGUUCCAGUGUUUUGCCUGAUAGGUGGGAAAUAGAUGUAGGAUGGGUGCCGAAGUUUGGUAUUCCUAUUGACAGAAAGGGGCCGUAGGUCCCUUCUGUAGAUGGAGAAGAGUAGGGGUGUGUUAGAAGACGGGGUGGAGAAGGAGUAUGAACUGCAGUGUGGGUGCAGUGUAGUUUCUGGGCUUGCCUGUUGCAUCAGCCUGUUGCUGAUGCCACCGGUUACUUAGCAGGUUUUCUCCUCAUGCAGUUGUUUAAAAAGUAAAAGUAGCAGUUGAAAUCUGCACAAGGCAGCACUGCUCUCUGCUGCCCCUUCCCCUGCAAUGACAGAAGCAGUUAUGUACGUUUGGUGAACCCAGAGAACGGAUUCUGUUUAAAGUCAUGUUUUUGUUUGCUUGUUUGGGGCCCUUGAUUUGUUGUUCUGGUUUUGUUUUGUUCCCUUGGGAUGCCUCUGGCUGACUAAUUUUACAGCCUGUUGUUUUUCAAAUGCAGAUGUCACCACUGGGGAGAGAAUGGGGCAAGGACAAGUUCAGCAGUCACCAGAUAAGGAAGACCACUCUUUUUCCAUCAGUUUGAAGAGAUUUGGCAGAGUUUUAAGUAACACCAUAAUUUUCCUGAAGACGGAUUUGCUUGUACAACUUGCCAGCUAGAGCUUGUGCUGUCCACAAAAGUUCCUCCCUUUUAGACACAUUUGCAACACUUCCCAGACCAGUUUGUUCAUUCACCUUACAGCUUGAAACCCUUGUUUCAGGUCAGGCUUGUUUCUUCUACUGUAUUUUUACUGCCCCUUGAGUGACAUCAUUCAAAUGGUGAGUCUCUGAGAGAUGAUUCAUACCGAAAAAGAUCUAAUAAUUGUUACCAGUUAUUCAAAUCAGUGUUACUGAUUUCCCGCAUCCUCCCACUGGUCCCUUGAGCUCCCCCACCCACUCGUUUUUCCUAAUAAUUCCCAGGCUUUCUGGCUGUAUGCUCAGUGUGCCCUCCUCUGUGUUACUGUGCUAAGGUGUAAGUAUCUCGCCCUCCCCUGAGGAGCACUUAGGGCUUGGCUGCAGCAGCUUGUGUAGGCAGAUACAGGCUGAGCUGAACUGGCAAGGUAGAGGUAGAUUGACGAGCACUGGCCUCAGUAAAGCUUCAAACUGCUUUCACAGCACAUCUUCUGUUUCACUGCUGUGUUGGUAUUGUUGGCAGCCGCUGAGGUAGCUCGUUCAAAGCUAGAUGAGUAAUGUGUCUACAGGCUGUGGUGUUGGGGUGCACAGAACUAUGAACUGGCUUCUCCUGAGAAGUUCUGCAAGGUAUUGGGGUAAUUACAUGCUCUGUGCUAGCAGAGACUUGCACCAGUAGUGACCCUAUCAUGCUUCUGCUGUUUCACUUUGUAGUGAAGAAUGUUUCUUCUGUUUCACGAAUACGGAUGUAUAACUCAUGAAGCUUGUUUCUCCUGCACCAUGAAUUGAACUCUAUGCUGUGCAGUGAUUCAGAUCAUCAGUGUAAAAAGCAAACUGUUGUUGGGAGCAGCCAUGUAUUGUUCUUCAUCCAGCUCCUCAGUCUGGCCCCAUAUCCCCAUCACACUCUUUCUUCAUAUCCCUGCAUUCUGUCUUUUGAUUUUUCCCUGUUCAAGACCCUUCCACGUGCAGUUUGCCAUUUCUCUUGUGCAUUCACCUUCUUAUUCAUUCUUUCUGCUGUCAGGGGCACGCUUGUUUUUGCCCAGAGUUGCUUCUUCAGUUCCAUCAAGUUACAUCUUGAGUAUCAAAGGUGGAGAGGGGUAAAUCUGGAUCAGUUCUGGAUUCUCAGCACGAACACGCUGAUGUUCGUGUUUCUGCAUGCUGUGAAGCCAGCCCCAAAACAAGCCUGUGGCUCUUCUGGAGAGAAUUGCUUUAUGUGGAAGCAUCCUUUUGUGUUGCAUUGGAUUCAGCAUUGUGUUCAGGGCUGAAAUGCCCUGUGUGCUGUGCGUUGGCCUGGCAGGAUGAGCUCACACAAAAAGAGUGUCAGAGCUGCCCUUUCUGGAAAAGUAAGGGAUAGGAAUUUAUGGCUUUUGCAUCUGCAGUAAGGCUGGCACCACAGCCCUACUUCAUCAGCAGUAGGACAGCGGAGGGGAAAAAAAGCAUGGUGUAACCUUUGGUAUAUGAUUUAUUAUCACUUUGCAGCCCUCUGGAAAAUGAACUUUAGAAAAUUCUGUGCCGAUGGUAACGAUGAACACUGGGAAAACCCAGGAAUCAGCAAAUCCAUUGUGUUGCGCUGACAGAAAGAUACUGUUACAACACACUUUAGCUGCCAACUUGCUGCAGUCACUCAAUCCAUCAUGGUGGGCUGUUGGAUCACAAGGCAGUGAAACUCAGCCUGGCGUGUUAUUUUAGUCUUACAUGGACUGUGAGAUAAACGGGGCAUGAACCAGCCCCCUGGCAGGGGGUCGACCCCUAGCGCCCUCAUUAAAGUGCCAAUCAAAAAGAGUAAUGGAACAGGGAAUGGAAAGCUGGCUUCUUCAGCCUGUUACUGUGCACAGUCUGAGCAACUUGCACAAGCCAAGGGAAACAUUUCUCUUCUGAAGAGGAGCCAGACUUCCAGAAAUACCUCCUCUCUCCUUGUCUCUGUGUGCGCAAUGCUGAGACCCUCCUGUGCGUCCCGCCUGCAGUGGGAGCGUGUGGUGGGAGCCUCUUGCUUACCAUAGUGCAAGCAGUGGGAAGAAGCGUGGCCGAAUGUAACCCGGAAAGGAUGUAGAUGCUUCUUCUGUGGAAUACAGUGGUCAGUGAUUGGUUACAGCAUGGCUUCUCUUGCACAUUGCUCAGGUUUCAGCAAUUGCACAUGAAGGAUGGGCAGAAAACAGUAGAUGCAGAAGUCAUGCCAGUGUGCACGAGGUGCUGUGAAGCUGCAGUCAGACUGUGUUGUGGUAAAGAAGAGAAAGCAGCAGCAAGAUCCUGUGUUCUGACGGUGGCCUUGCACUUCACUGUGGGAUCUUAGUCAAGACGAGACAUGUGCGAACCCAGUGGCAGUGUGAGGACCCAGCCUUGUGUACACAUCUGGUGCUGCUUUACUCACGUUCUCCCACUCAGAAAAUCUGAUGAUAAAGACCUCAGGAAAGCAGUACAUCUCAGUCCUACAGAAACUGACCUGGCCUCUCUUAAUGAAAUGUAUUCUCUGCGAGGUAACUGUGGCGUUAGCUAGGAGGUAGAUUGGAACUGUCCUGAUUCCUUUUUAAGGCUACUGGCCUAUUGGACCAACUACCGGUAGGCUGGAAUAGAUUUGAACCAAUAAUAUGCAUGGGGAAUUGGUGAUGUUUUCAUUCUAGCCCCAUAUUUGAUAAAACAGCAUCAUCAUGUGUACUGAUAAAGCAAUUACCAUCAAGCCUGGAUUGUCUGUUUUUUCAGAGAAGACAACUCGGUGAUCCUUGUUUAUAACAACUACACUUAUAAGAAUGGAAGUGUGGGGAGUACGACCAUCACUUUUCAAGCUACCGGUAACCUGCAGUGUAUGCCCAGGCCCCUGCUUUUCAGAGCUAGGCACCAGAGCUGAAUUAGCUGUGAUUAGAAAAUACAGGAAUGUUCUUUAAGGCAGAGAAGCAGAGCAAGCAAAGUUUUCCCUAGGGGUGUCAUCAUCUGGUGCUUCAUGCCUUGUAUGAAUCAGCUUCUGAAAUUUCAAGACAAUGUACUUUCAUGGCUGCAACUCUCAUCUCCUCAAAUAAAACCGGGCUGAAAGAUACUUACUGCCUUUAUAAAGCUCAGACCUUCAUGUGAUUUAAUACCAUCAGCUCCAGACUGAUUCCUGCAGUUCACUCUGGCAGUAAGAAGAUGUUUCAAGAGUCCAGCUCUAAUUGUUCUUGAUUUUCACUGAGUCUUAACAUAAGCUGUUGUUCAUAAUAAAGGCUCUUUGCAUAGUUUAUUUCUUGACAUAGCUUUACUGCAAGAACUUCAGAUUUCACAUUGACCUGCAGAAAGAAAUGGGUAUGUUGUUAAAGAGGCACUGUUUUGUUUGUUUGUUUGUUUCACUGACUGAAGGAAUUUGCAUGGCUGUGCUUGAGGGAAUAAAAGUGCUUCAAUGGAAAUCUUGUUCUCAGUGAUGAGGAUGAGGUAUGGGAGAAAUGAGAGAGGGAAAGACAGGUACUGAGUUUUGGUAAUAUUGGGUGGGAACAGAAACAUCUUGCAAUAUCUGAAGUUAUUUCCUUUGCUUCCUCUCCUACCUUUCAUCUGGCUGUUCUGUUUGGAAUGUAAACUGACUUAGGUCAGGGGUGAGCUUGUAACCUUGUCUGUAAAACAGACCUGGAACAACUACUGUAAUGAAGCAGAAAACCCACUUGGUUGAGAGGUGAGAUACUGAUUAAUUUUUAUAUGUAUGACAUAAAUAGUCUUUCCAAUCUUUGGAAGAUGCUAUAUAUGUAGGGAAAACACUACAGUAAAUAGCACAGUGCUUAAUUACGUGUAUGUACUGUAUAAUUAAGAUUAUUUCUCAGACAAAGAAAUAUUUCCUAACUUAACUUCUGCAUUUGGGAAUAUUUUAGAUUUUACCUUCAACUUUUCUCAGGAGUUCAUGAAGCAAGUUCUACUGACCUAGAUCUUUUAGGCAGCAGUUAUUUGCACGGCUGGCAGAAUGAAAUUUUUAUUACUAAACAGUACAAGAAUCAAACAGGAGUAGAAAUAUUUUCAGUGUCAGUACGUGCAGUGAUUGAGGGGAAAAGAAACCCCUGUGUGAAAGAAACAGCAGGUGCUCGAUCCUUACCAUUGGUUUUUGUUGUGAUGGGCCUGGCAUUGCUACACCACUACUUGUAUUAACAGCUUUCUUUGUCAGCUGUACAUAUACUUUCCCGUGAUCUUUUGAAACAAGGCAGUGGUAGAGGUCAUCGUACUUCACUUCUAAGAAGAUGGCUUCACGGUCGGGGUAGUCGCCACUCUUGAGGAAAUAAACAGCUUUAGAUGAGAUGAGAACACAGUACUUCUCUAUGUUCUCCACUGCUAUGAAGCUGCAGAAAAGAGGAAAACAAAAACAAGAAAUGAAUCGUGUGAUAAAAAUACUCAGCUGUAACAAAUGGCUUAACCUUGUGCAUUUUCAGUGACCUUUGGAAGUCUUAAAGAAAACCAAAAGCAUAACACAUACAAUUCAUUUGUAUUUGUACUGUUCUGAACAUCAAGCUGGUCUGUACCCCUCGGCUGAAAAAGAGCAGGUUGUAAACCAACUAUGAGCACUGACUUCUAGCUGUGGAUGUUAAAAAGUUAUAUAAAAAUAGCUGUAAGACUUAGGAAGAUUAACUGCCUUGCAUUUGAACACUGAAAGACUUAAUUACACUGAAGCUUAAUUGUAACUUCAGUUGUUACUGAUAGGUGAAAAAGUUUGGAGAUAUUUAUGAUGAAAGCUUCUUUGUUGUUGUUUUUUAAACACGUCAACCUGUGCCUCCUGCCACACACCUCCCUUGCCUUUAAAAGCAAAAAACAAGUUUAACCUGCUGCCUGGAGCAGUAGCUAGAAAAGAGAAAUUAGCUGUUUAACACUGGGGUGAAAGGUUAAGCAGCAAGCAGGUUUCCCCAGAGAGAUUAGUCCAAGUGAUGAAUAGGGGAGGUAGAAAAGAGUGAAUUAAGAAGAUGGAGAAUUACGAUGGCUGAAAAGGUUGAUGUGUAAAAAUGAGUAGGAAGGAAUGCAAAAGUGAAAUAGAUAAUGCACACACAAACACUCCCUCAUUUGUGAUUUACUACUGAAACAAACUCCAUUUGUGAUGUUUUAUUUUACUUUAAGAAAAAAGCUGAAAUUUUCAGAAAAUUAUAUAUGGAGACACAACUAAGAAUGAAAGAGUGCUGAGUUUUGUAGGAAAGAACAAGCUUAACUGUCAAACUAGGAUUCUCCUGCUGUCAGGUGGAUUCAAAUUCACUAUUUUCUGAGCUGUUGUUUGUACUGCUCUGUCUGCUGUUGCCCUAAUAUGUUCAGCAACAUACUCCACUGUGUUUGAGAACACUGAAGAUUUUCAGUCCUACGAGCUUUUGUUAGAUUGAAAAGUUCACCAUCUCUACUGGCCAGUUCCAAACUUGCUGUCUGCUUUGCUACUUAGGUAACACUGCGUACAAACUGCUGUGAGCCACAUCCAAGUAAACCCUCAGCUGCAAGUGGAAUGUCAGCAAGCACAAAUAUUUUUAAAGCUCAGACCAUGCUUUAUUUUGUGAUAUAAAAGAAAAUUAUAGUAAUUAUUUUCUCUUAAUACUUGUCUGCAAGAUCCUGCUCAGUGCUGAAUUUGUCUUUUCUCUGCCCUAUGCCUCCUUGUCAUAUCAAUCAGCUAACACUGGUUUCCAUAGGAGUGAAAAAAGGCAUACGUGCUCAUUCAAGUUGUUAAAUUUUCAUUUUAAGUGGCGUGAAGAGUACAGUCAUUCUUAACCUGCUGGGUAGCCUGCAGAACAGUCUUGUUUCAGAGGACAGGCAAAUGAAAGUCCAGUGUUUUACAGAGAUCCUACGUGUGACUUGGGUCAUGCUUCCACUGGAAGAGCAACCAGAACAAACCUGCUGGUACACUGCCUUUGUUUCCUUUCCAGCAGGGAAAGAAACUAAAAAAAGUAAUCAUGAGAAAUCCCAACUAUACUGUACUACCAUUCCUUGCAACUGUCAGGGUAAAGCUGAGUACACCCACAAAAGCAGAACUGUUGGGUUUUUUCCCACAUAUAUGGGAUUCCAACGCUCUGUAUGGAGAUAUCCAUGGAGAGAACUGAACCAGCAAAAGCUAUGGUGAAGUUAAGUGGGAACAACUGAGAAAUCAGACUACAGGGCUGUAUUUUUUCCCCCAUAAGAAGAUUAUAUCUGAUUUUUCAUGGUGUCAUAUAUGUACUUUGAGGAAUGGAAACAAGGAUGUAUUUUAUGGCGAAGCACUGAAACAUCAGCUAGUUUGUAGUUAAGGCUCUACAUUUUGUUCUAACUUUGAGUCAUGGAUCAUUACCCAUUUUCCCUUGCCAACUGUUAUUUUCUUCUCAGUGCCUAGUUCUCAAAAUGGGUAUUUAACCUUUUAAGAUACGACUGCAAGAUAUUACUUCUUCAGUUGAUUUAUGUAAGUAAAAAGACCCAACAAACUUGCAUUGACACUAUUUUAAAAAUUUCAAAUUAAUAAAAUGGAAGAUUAAAUGAAACAUGAUCCAGUAGAACAAAGCAGAAGCAAGCAGACCUCUGGAGAAUUUGUGGGUUUUUAACAACAUCAGGAAGUAAUUACACAAUAUUUUCCAGAAGUGAAACAGUGAGUCUAACUGGAAAAAAAUGUGGAAACAUUUAGUUAGAACAGUAGAGCAAGGUAUUAAACCCCCUUUUAUGGAUUUAACUCUGGAAGAAAAUAUGCAAAUAAUCACAUCUCUAAAUAUGUUUCUGGUUAUGAUACUAGGAUAAAAGUCAGAGGCAUAAUUUUGUACUUAUUUUCCACGACAAGAAACACUGUUUUCUUGUUGUGUGAUGCUCCUAAUGGUGGAAGUCACAGUGAAUGGACAGCGUGACUGAAAUGACAACAGCCCACAGUUCUACUUAUGGGGUACACUUGUCAAAAGCUGACACUGUUUGGUUUUUUAAUCACAAAUUGUUCUCUUCUAAUUCUCCCCGCUAAAGAGCCAGACUGGAUACACCAUUUAAGUCCUUUCCAUAAGAUGUAAACAGGAUAACAUGACUGUAAGAUCACAGGCCACAGGUGGCAACUACAAACUUCCUCACAGGCGCACAGCUUUCAGUGCCUCAUUAUUGAGGCUGGUGGAGUUGAGACAGUGCAAUGAAUGGGGGAACUCCCCCUGAGGGCUUCACCACGAGGUGCCAUUUUUUCCUUUAGGCACUAAAACCAAUUCAAACUAACUGCUCUGCCUUGGCAAAUGCUCUGAUGUGAAGUAUAUACUCACAGCAAAUACUCUGAUAGUGCAAAACAUAGUAUCUUAUGCUCUCUACUGAAAACAGCUAUUCAGGUAACAGAGAGAGAAAUUGGGUUAAGUAAUGAAUUAUGCCAUGAGAAUCUAACCCAGCAAACUGACACCUGAAGAAACAAACAGAUAUCUCCCUGUGCAUUUACUCAGUAUGGAUUUUUUGUACUGCCUAACCUGACCAAAAAACCUGCUGUUUUCACUUGCUUUCAUGCACCCAUUUCCAUACCAUUCAAACAUAAGGUGCAUCAUCAGUUUUGCAUGUAUUCCCCAUUCAAAUUAUUCCACACUGACUUUUCUAGAGAAAAAAAAUGUUUAUAGUGCGGGUUUUGUUCGUUUACUGCUAACAGCCUUAGCUUAGGAAUAAUGUAACGUACCACAGGCAUCUGACUAGCUUCUCUCACAUCUAAACCAGAGCAACCUCAGCGUGCACCCACCUAACAGUGUGAUUCACAUACUGCUGCCAUGGAGCCUCCAGCUGCUCUGCUAGGCCUUGGGCUGUGAGAAACAGCAGACGACAACAGCGACAGAUAAAGGCACAGACAGCAGUUCUGUCUGCAUGAAGAAUGUGCCUCUGUGCGAGGAAUACAGGUUCCAGCAGCAUGUGUUUAUGGACAGGAGGGUUUAGCCUGCAUUGGAUGUACAUGUUAUAUCCUAAUUACUUAGAAGCUGAAAUUUCAUCUUUUAUGACGGUAGGACACUGGAAUCAUUAAAAGGCACGAGAGAUGAGAAGCCAUAGCUCCAAUUCUUCUGGAAAGUGCAUGCCAUGUGAGAUCAACGACAGUUAGCAACAAGUAAAGCACAGGACCCUAUGGCACCUGCAAUGGCACUGGUAUAGAGUCAGUGGAAGGGCUGCUGUGGAAGCCAGCAGGAGCUUGGGGCGUGCUGUGCUUCAGUACCAAGAGAAAACAGCUGAAAUGGCCUUGUACGUGCAUGGGAAAUAAAUAAUGUUCAUCUCUUUCCCAAAGACACAAAGAUACAAUGGUAGCAAAUGGAACUACUUGCAGUAACCACGUAAAUCAGUACUUACAACUCAUCCUGGAUGUUGUCAGUCAGUUUGAACAGCUGUUCCUGUCCUUCUGCUUCCCUUGCUGAGUAGCGGGGCAGGAGCCCUUGGGGUCCUCUGCAGCAGCGUGGCUUUCUCACUCUCUCUGCUUGUGUCCUGGGGCCGCUCAGAGUCGCGGUGUCCCUCACUGCCUGCGCGGUUUCUGAUGCAAAAUCCAGAGCUCCAGCGACAGGUUUGGU
Molecule: long non-coding RNA, 12224 nt
Filed under: Gallus gallus (chicken)
Lineage: Eukaryota; Metazoa; Chordata; Aves; Galliformes; Phasianidae
Source: RNAcentral